This 387-nucleotide ribosomal RNA is filed under the name uncultured bacterium. RNAcentral describes it as "bacterial SSU rRNA". It matches the Rfam family "Bacterial small subunit ribosomal RNA", at positions 28 to 419 of the family's 1533-position model. The record is from RNAcentral.
GAUGAACGCUGGCGGCAUGCUUUACACAUGCAAGUCGAACGGUAACAGGCCUUCGGGUGCUGACGAGUGGCGAACGGGUGAGUAAUGCAUCGGAACGUGCCCAAUCGUGGGGGAUAACGUAGCGAAAGUUACGCUAAUACCGCAUAAGCCCUGAGGGGGAAAGUGGGGGACCGCAAGGCCUCACGCGAAUGGAGCGGCCGAUGUCAGAUUAGCUAGUUGGUGGGGUAAAGGCCCACCAAGGCGACGAUCUGUAGCGGGUCUGAGAGGAUGAUCCGCCACACUGGGACUGAGACACGGCCCAGACUCCUACGGGAGGCAGCAGUGGGGAAUUUUGGACAAUGGGCGCAAGCCUGAUCCAGCCAUGCCGCGUGCGGGACGAAGGCCUUC